RNAcentral lists this ribosomal RNA (501 nucleotides) under uncultured bacterium. RNAcentral's name for it is "partial 16S ribosomal RNA". It matches the Rfam family "Bacterial small subunit ribosomal RNA", at positions 30 to 523 of the family's 1533-position model. The record is from RNAcentral.
AUUGAACGCUGGCGGCAGGCUUAACACAUGCAAGUCGAGCGGGGGAAGGUAGCUUGCUACCGGACCUAGCGGCGGACGGGUGAGUAAUGCUUAGGAAUCUGCCUAUUAGUGGGGGACAACAUCUCGAAAGGGAUGCUAAUACCGCAUACGUCCUACGGGAGAAAGCAGGGGAUCUUCGGACCUUGCGCUAAUAGAUGAGCCUAAGUCGGAUUAGCUAGUUGGUGGGGUAAAGGCCUACCAAGGCGACGAUCUGUAGCGGGUCUGAGAGGAUGAGCCGCCACACUGGGACUGAGGCACGGCCCAGACUCCUACGGGGGGCAGCAGUGGGGAAUAUUGGACAAUGGGGGGAACCCUGAUCCAGCCAUGCCGCGUGUGUGAAGAAGGCCUUAUGGUUGUAAAGCACUUUAAGCGAGGAGGAGGCUACUCUAGUUAAUACCUAGGGAUAGUGGACGUUACUCGCAGAAUAAGCACCGGCUAACUCUGUGCCAGCCGCCGCAGUAA